RNAcentral lists this ribosomal RNA (460 nucleotides) under uncultured bacterium. RNAcentral describes it as "partial 16S ribosomal RNA". It matches the Rfam family "Bacterial small subunit ribosomal RNA", at positions 338 to 795 of the family's 1533-position model. The record is from RNAcentral.
CCUACGGGAGGCAGCAGUGAGGAAUAUUGGUCAAUGGACGAGAGUCUGAACCAGCCAAGUAGCGUGAAGGAUGACUGCCCUAUGGGUUGUAAACUUCUUUUAUAUGGGAAUAAAAUGUUCCACGUGUGGGAUUUUGUAUGUACCAUAUGAAUAAGGAUCGGCUAACUCCGUGCCAGCAGCCGCGGUAAUAAGGAGGAUCCGAGCGUUACCCGGAUUUAUUUGGUUUAAAGGGAGCGUAGGUGGAUUGUUAAGUCAGUUGUGAAAGUUUGCGGCUCAACCGUAAAAUUGCAGUUGAAACUGGCAGUCUUGAGUACAGUAGAGGUGGGCGGAAUUCGUGGUGUAGCGGUGAAAUGCUUAGAUAUCACGAAGAACUCCGAUGGCGAAGGCAGCUCACUGGACUGCAACUGACACUGAGGCUCGAAAGUGUGGGUAUCAAACAGGAUUAGAUACCCGAGUAGUC